CCCUAGCCCUGAUAGCAAUGGAAAUCCUUAUUGGUUUUGCUUUCAAAAACAAUAAGAUUGAAAUGGAUAGCGGGAAAUAGC
Molecule: small RNA, 81 nt
Filed under: Flavobacterium segetis
Lineage: Bacteria; Pseudomonadati; Bacteroidota; Flavobacteriia; Flavobacteriales; Flavobacteriaceae
Description: Flavo-1 RNA
Rfam family: Flavo-1 RNA
Source: RNAcentral